This 497-nucleotide ribosomal RNA is filed under the name uncultured bacterium. RNAcentral's name for it is "partial 16S ribosomal RNA". It matches the Rfam family "Bacterial small subunit ribosomal RNA", at positions 28 to 507 of the family's 1533-position model. The record is from RNAcentral.
GAUGAACGCUGGCGGCGUGCCUAAUACAUGCAAGUCGAGCGAACAGACGAGGAGCUUGCUCCUCUGACGUUAGCGGCGGACGGGUGAGUAACACGUGGAUAACCCACCUAUAAGACUGGGAUAACUUCGGGAAACCGGAGCUAAUACCGGAUAAUAUAUUGAACCGCAUGGUUCAAUAGUGAAAGACGGUUUUGCUGUCACUUAUAGAUGGAUCCGCGCCGCAUUAGCUAGUUGGUAAGGUAACGGCUUACCAAGGCAACGAUGCGUAGCCGACCUGAGAGGGUGAUCGGCCACACUGGAACUGAGACACGGUCCAGACUCCUACGGGAGGCAGCAGUAGGGAAUCUUCCGCAAUGGGCGAAAGCCUGACGGAGCAACGCCGCGUGAGUGAUGAAGGUCUUCGGAUCGUAAAACUCUGUUAUUAGGGAAGAACAAAUGUGUAAGUAACUAUACACGUCUUGACGGUACCUAAUCAGAAAGCCACGGCUAACUACGUG